CCUACGGGUGGCAGCAGUGAGGAAUAUUGGUCAAUGGGCGAGAGCCUGAACCAGCCAAGUCGCGUGAAGGAUGACGGCCCUACGGGUUGUAAACUUCAUUUGCCAGGGAGCAAAUGAGUCCACGUGUGUGCUUAGCGAGAGUAACUGACGAAAAAGCAUCGGCUAACUACGUGCCAGCAGCCGCGGUAAUACGGAGGAUGCGAGCGUUAUCCGGAUUUAUUGGGUUUAAAGGGUGCGUAGGAGGAAUAUCAAGUCAGCGGUAAAAAUUCGGGGCUCAACCCCGUCGUGCCGUUGAAACUGAUUGUCUUGAGUGGGCGAGAGGUAUGCGGAAUGCGUGGUGUAGCGGUGAAAUGCAUAGAUAUCACGCAGAACUCCGAUUGCGAAGGCAGCAUACCGGCGCCCAACUGACGCUGAAGCACGAAAGCGUGGGUAUCGAACAGGAUUAGAUACCCCUGUAGUC
RNAcentral lists this ribosomal RNA (460 nucleotides) under uncultured bacterium. RNAcentral describes it as "partial 16S ribosomal RNA". It matches the Rfam family "Bacterial small subunit ribosomal RNA", at positions 338 to 795 of the family's 1533-position model. The record is from RNAcentral.